This is an RNA transcript of Drosophila hydei, 1324 nucleotides long. RefSeq lists it as uncharacterized. The record is from RefSeq and is a predicted model, not a curated record. Lineage: Eukaryota; Metazoa; Arthropoda; Insecta; Diptera; Drosophilidae. The transcript is spliced from 3 exons.
CACCGAGUAGCCGACAGACUCUGGGAAAAUAUUCGAAAUGACAGACAAAAUACGGAAUACAUAUAAAUAUACUCUUAAAAAUUCUAAACGGAAUUAGCCCCAUUACACUCACACUUACACCGCACAACAAGAAUAACAGCAACAGGAAUAUUAACAAAAAGAGAAUAGCUCGCAAAAUUUGCAUAUCUUGACGAAAUAAAAUGCCCAUCCAAACGAACGAGAGUCCCGACAAUGGGACAACAGGGCUGCUCGAGCUGGAGGUUAUUGAGUGUGACCCAGACUUAAGUGCCCAUCCAAAGAACAUUGGCUGGAAUCUGAAAGAAUCUAGCACAGAUCCGCCAUCCACACCAAACAUUAAGAUGCACAAUCAACCGGCUGGAGCAGCGCAGCCGACGUCCAGUUUUCUGGCCGAAGUGCAAGUAAGCCACAAACAGAUCACUGAUCGGUUUGUCGAACUGCUCAAUCUCUUCGAGGACUACUCGAAGAUCAUGAAAGAGAGCGAGAAGGCGACGCAGCCGAAGUUGAAGCGCACGCAGUCCGAGCAGUUUACAGCUACGCAUAUCCAAGUGGAAGACAGUGAUUGCAGUGAUCAGGUGAAGACCAGUGUCAGUCUGAACCGUAUGCAGCUGUCGGACUGCACGUUACUCUGCACGCUGCCCAAGUUCACCUGCGAGAUGGCCAGCCAGACUCAUUGGCCGGAUGGAGUCGAGAAGAAGAAAGUGCUGAAGCCCAACUUGGAGAAGUUAAAGAAAACGGAGCCACUGCAACAGUUGCUGCAAGCUCAGUCGCAUACCCUGCACAUUGAGGUAGAGUCGAUUAGCUCGUCGACUGCCCUGCAGCGCGCCCCGCUGCGUCAACGUCUAUGGCAAGUGUUGCACGAUGCAGGGCAAACGCUGAUCGCCUGCUUGGCCAUGAUGGGCGAGAACUUCACCUAUGUCCUCUUCGUGCUGCUCUGCCUUUGGUGUCUAUAUCUGAUCAUCGCCCACUAUUAUAGCUUCCUCGAGGGGAAUAUCAAUCACCAAAUGGAUGUGAAACACUCACUCAAUCGCGUCCACUCGUAGCCGCGUGCCUCUGGCCACCAAGUUGGUCCUUUAAUUAUUAAUGAUAAUUCAAAUGCAGCAUUAAUGAAAGAUAAAUGAUAACCAAAGGAAGGUGUACACCUUCCUUUCAUUAUCAGUCUUUCGGAAGUCGAAAAAAUGAAUUUGAAGAUCACUUUAGGAGAGAAUGCCGUUAAAAAGAUCUGUUACAGAAUAAAUGUCAUUUUAUCAGAUGCAAGAUCUCUACCUAUCAGCCUGGAAGAGAAGAAGAACUACAACAGUAUAAA